GGGGGCGGCGUGCCUAUACUGCAAGUCGAGCGAAUGGAUUAAGAGCUUGCUCUUAUGAAGUUAGCGGCGGACGGGUGAGUAACACGUGGGUAACCUGCCCAUAAGACUGGGAUAACUCCGGGAAACCGGGGCUAAUACCGGAUAACAUUUUGCACUGCAUGGUGCGAAAUUGAAAGGCGGCUUCGGCUGUCACUUAUGGAUGGACCCGCGUCGCAUUAGCUAGUUGGUGAGGUAACGGCUCACCAAGGCAACGAUGCGUAGCCGACCUGAGAGGGUGAUCGGCCACACUGGGACUGAGACACGGCCCAGACUCCUACGGGAGGCAGCAGUAGGGAAUCUUCCGCAAUGGACGAAAGUCUGACGGAGCAACGCCGCGUGAGUGAUGAAGGCUUUCGGGUCG
This 400-nucleotide ribosomal RNA is filed under the name Bacillus pseudomycoides. RNAcentral's name for it is "bacterial SSU rRNA". It matches the Rfam family "Bacterial small subunit ribosomal RNA", at positions 38 to 425 of the family's 1533-position model. Lineage: Bacteria; Bacillati; Bacillota; Bacilli; Caryophanales; Bacillaceae. The record is from RNAcentral.